This 73-nucleotide transfer RNA is filed under the name Ornithorhynchus anatinus (platypus). It matches the Rfam family "tRNA". Rfam says of the family: Transfer RNA (tRNA) molecules are approximately 80 nucleotides in length. Their secondary structure includes four short double-helical elements and three loops (D, anti-codon, and T loops). Lineage: Eukaryota; Metazoa; Chordata; Mammalia; Monotremata; Ornithorhynchidae. The record is from Rfam by way of RNAcentral.
AGCAGUAUGGCAUAGUGGACAGAGCACCAGCCUGGGAGUCUGAGGGUUAUGGGUUCUAAUCCCGACUCUGCUA